This 544-nucleotide ribosomal RNA is filed under the name haloalkaliphilic bacterium 3-4. RNAcentral's name for it is "bacterial SSU rRNA". It matches the Rfam family "Bacterial small subunit ribosomal RNA", at positions 382 to 916 of the family's 1533-position model. Lineage: Bacteria; Bacillati; Bacillota; Bacilli; Caryophanales. The record is from RNAcentral.
UCUGACGGAGCAACGCCGCGUGAGUGAUGAAGGUUUUCGGAUCGUAAAACUCUGUUGUUAGGGAAGAACAAGUGCCAUAGUAACUGAUGGCACCUUGACGGUACCUAACCAGAAAGCCACGGCUAACUACGUGCCAGCAGCCGCGGUAAUACGUAGGUGGCAAGCGUUGUCCGGAAUUAUUGGGCGUAAAGCGCUCGCAGGCGGUUCUUUAAGUCUGAUGUGAAAUCUUACGGCUCAACCGUAAACGUGCAUUGGAAACUGGGGAACUUGAGUGCAGAAGAGGAGAGUGGAAUUCCACGUGUAGCGGUGAAAUGCGUAGAGAUGUGGAGGAACACCAGUGGCGAAGGCGACUCUCUGGUCUGUAACUGACGCUGAGGAGCGAAAGCGUGGGGAGCGAACAGGAUUAGAUACCCUGGUAGUCCACGCCGUAAACGAUGAGUGCUAGGUGUUAGGGGGUUUCCGCCCCUUAGUGCUGAAGUUAACGCAUUAAGCACUCCGCCUGGGGAGUACGGCCGCAAGGCUGAAACUCAAAGGAAAUUGACGG